Molecule: non-coding RNA, 74 nt
Organism: Stegostoma tigrinum
Lineage: Eukaryota; Metazoa; Chordata; Chondrichthyes; Orectolobiformes; Stegostomatidae
Source: the annotation of a RefSeq genome assembly
GUCUCUGUGGCACAAUUGGUUAGCGCGUUUGGCUGUUACCAAAAAGGUUGUUGGUUCGAUCCCACCCUGGGACG